Molecule: ribosomal RNA, 577 nt
Filed under: uncultured Capnodiales
Lineage: Eukaryota; Fungi; Ascomycota; Dothideomycetes; Capnodiales
Description: eukaryotic LSU rRNA
Rfam family: 5.8S ribosomal RNA (bases 217-370)
Source: RNAcentral
CUUGGUCAUUUAGAGGAAGUAAAAGUCGUAACAAGGUCUCCGUAGGUGAACCUGCGGAGGGAUCAUUACAGAGAAAGGGCCUUCGGGUCCGACCUCCAACCCUUUGUUAGCAAAACCAUGUUGCCUCGGGGGUGACCCUGCCUUCGGGCUCGCGUCCCCCCGGUGGACCACUAAACACUGCAUCUAUUGCGUCAGAGUAGAUUUUUAAUAAAUCAAAACUUUCAACAACGGAUCUCUUGGUUCUGGCAUCGAUGAAGAACGCAGCGAAAUGCGAUAAGUAAUGUGAAUUGCAGAAUUCAGUGAAUCAUCGAAUCUUUGAACGCACAUUGCGCCCCUCGGUAUUCCUUGGGGCACACCUGUUCGAGCGUCAUCACACCACUCAAGCCUCGCUUGGUAUUGGGCGAAGCGGCAUCGCCGCCCGCCUCAAAAGCUCCGGCCGAGCAGUCAGUCUCUUAGCGUUGUGCAAACUAUUCGCUUCUGAGGCCUGGCAGCGCGCGCCGUUAAACCUCUUCUAACAGGUUGACCUCGGAUCAGGUGGGGAUACCCGCUGAACUUAAGCAUAUCAAUAAGCGGAGGA